UGUCGAACCGAUAAAAUCGAA
Molecule: non-coding RNA, 21 nt
Filed under: Caenorhabditis elegans
Lineage: Eukaryota; Metazoa; Nematoda; Chromadorea; Rhabditida; Rhabditidae
Source: RNAcentral